UGUUUUGGUAGCAGCAGUCAGGCGGCCUCCUCCAUCCCCUGUGAGUGAAACGACCGGUCCCCCUUGUGAAGAGAGGAAAUUCUUCUGACAAUCAGACAUUCACGCAGCAGCUGUCUGUAAUCCAAGGCAUCCUUGUCUGGCACAUAAGCUGGGAGCCAUUUUACCUGAGGCUGUUUUUCGGAAGAGGGAAUCUACCAGAUGGAGAAUGAUGACACAAAGAAAUGGCUGCGGAAGAGAGGAAGCACUGUUACGCAGGGCUCCAGACGAACUUUUUUCACCACUGUCCCGGAACCGUCCUGAAAAACAAUUUUGACCAUCCCAAAGUGAAUGUAAACCAUUUCUUGUUUCUUUACUUUGUAAAGCAAGACAGAGUUUGCCUGAGGCUCCAAAUCACUAAAUCCACCCCUGUUGAUGUAUGAGUGUUUUCUUUAACGAUUUACUUUAAAGAUUAUAGAUGCUGCUUUCAGUAAUUGUAAAUGUUUCCAUGGUGAACUAACUGCCUUUGCAAUAGAGUUUUGUAUUUAUGUAGCCUAUAAUGUAUGCUGCCUGCUUUGGUCCCAUUUCUGCUCCCGCUAACCCAUGCAGUCUGGAAAGAUUGUAGCAUGUUGAGUGCACCGAUUUUUCCAGCAAUUUCUCUUGUAUGAUUGCAGAUAAAAUUGUUAUUAGUGUCUGUAUAUUUCUUGGUAUUCCCCGCUGUUAGUUUGCUUAGUUGUGUCAGUAAUUCGUGCCUUACGAAAAAUAAAGCUCUACUAUGUUCAAA
This is a long non-coding RNA of Thunnus maccoyii (southern bluefin tuna), 760 nucleotides long. RefSeq lists it as uncharacterized. The record is from RefSeq and is a predicted model, not a curated record. The transcript is spliced from 2 exons. NCBI's taxonomy places the organism in Eukaryota, Metazoa, Chordata, Actinopteri, Scombriformes, Scombridae.